AACCAUUUGAUCUGGCUAGUAUUUUUCUACUGGUUCUUUCACUCCACUUUAAAUGGUGUAGCUGAGCUGCUGAGGUUUGGAGACAGAGUUUUCUACAAAGACUGGUGGAACGCAGAGACUGUGUCUGAGUACUGGCAGCACUGGAACAUCCCUGUUCACAGAUUUGCUACUAGACAUGUGUACAAGCCCUUGCUGAGCACUGGAUGUUCUAGGUUCACUGCCUCAUGCUUUGUUUUUUUACUGUCAGCAUUUUUUCACGAGUAUCUAAUCAGUGUACCCCUUAGGGUGUUUAAAACCUGGGCUUUAUGGGAAUGUUGAUGCAGGUUCCUACAGCAUACUUGACAUCUAAGUUUGUCCGAGGCAACAUCACCAUGUGGUUGUCUCUCAUCCUUGGUCAGCCAGUGGCCAUUUUGGCCUACUUUCAUGACUACUAUAUUGUCCACUCCCUUCCUCUGCUCAACAACAGCACAGCAACGCCAGGUCUGUAAUUGGAUGACCUGUGACAGUGCAGCAGUAUAAAACUUUUGUGAUGGAUGCCUAGAGACCAAAUAUUUAAAGUGGUGCAUGGGUGUUUAGGGGUCACCAUAAAUGACAUCACACAAUCCAGAUAAUAUUUUUAUUCUAAUCUUCUUCACUCAAUGGUU
Molecule: long non-coding RNA, 644 nt
Organism: Physella acuta
Lineage: Eukaryota; Metazoa; Mollusca; Gastropoda; Physidae
Source: RefSeq, a predicted model, not a curated record